RNAcentral lists this ribosomal RNA (468 nucleotides) under uncultured bacterium. RNAcentral's name for it is "partial 16S ribosomal RNA". It matches the Rfam family "Bacterial small subunit ribosomal RNA", at positions 28 to 507 of the family's 1533-position model. The record is from RNAcentral.
GACGAACGCUGGCGGCGUGCUUAACACAUGCAAGUCGAACGGAAAGGCCCUGCUUUUGUGGGGUGCUCGAGUGGCGAACGGGUGAGUAACACGUGAGUAACCUGCCCUUGACUGUGGGAUAACUUCAGGAAACUGGGGCUCAUACCGGAUAUGAGCUCCUGCUGCAUGGUGGGGGAUGGAAAGUGUCGGCGGUUGGGGAUGGACUCGCGGCUUAUCAGCUUGUUGGUGGGGUAGUGGCUUGCCAAGGCUUUGACGGGUAGCCGGACUGAGAGGGUGACCGGCCACAAUGGGACUGAGGUACGGCCCAGACUCCUACGUGAGGCAGCAGUGGGGAUCAUUCCACAAUGGGCGGAAGCCGGAUGCAGCAACGCCGCGUGCGGGAUGACGGCCUUCGGGUUGUAAACCGCUUUCGCCUGUGACGAAGCGUGAGUGACGGUAAUGGGUAAAGAAGCACCGGCUAACUACGUG